CAAUACCGCGUGAGGGACGAAGGCCUGUGGGUUGUACWCCUCUUUUGUUAGGGAAGAUAAUGACGGUACCUAACGAAUAAGCAUCGGCUAACUCCGUGCCAGCAGCCGCGGUAAGACGGAGGAUGCAAGCGUUAUCCGGAAUUAUUGGGCGUAAAAGCGUACUGUAGGCUGGCUAAUUAAGUCUGUUGUCAAAGCCCUGAGGCUCAACCUUGGAUCAGGCAAUGGAAACUGAAUAGCUAGAGAGAGAUAGGGGCAGRAGGAAUUCCMGGUGUAGCGGUGAAAUGCGUAGAUAU
This 293-nucleotide ribosomal RNA is filed under the name uncultured bacterium. RNAcentral's name for it is "partial 16S ribosomal RNA". It matches the Rfam family "Bacterial small subunit ribosomal RNA", at positions 392 to 697 of the family's 1533-position model. The record is from RNAcentral.